GAUGAACGCUGGCGGCGUGCCUAAUACAUGCAAGUCGAGCGAACAGACGAGGAGCUUGCUCCUCUGACGUUAGCGGCGGGCGGGUGAGUAACACGUGGAUAACCUACCUAUAAGACUGGGAUAACUUCGGGAAACCGGAGCUAAUACCGGAUAAUAUAUUGAACCGCAUGGUUCAAUAGUGAAAGACGGUUUUGCUGUCACUUAUAGAUGGAUCCGCGCCGCAUUAGCUAGUUGGUAAGGUAACGGCUUACCAAGGCAACGAUGCGUAGCCGACCUGAGAGGGUGAUCGGCCACACUGGAACUGAGACACGGUCCAGACUCCUACGGGAGGCAGCAGUAGGGAAUCUUCCGCAAUGGGCGAAAGCCUGACGGGGCAACGCCGCGUGAGUGAUGAAGGUCUUCGGAUCGUAAAACUCUGUUAUUAGGGAAGAACAAAUGUGUAAGUAACUAUGCACGUCUUGACGGUACCUAAUCAGAAAGCCACGGCUAACUACGUG
RNAcentral lists this ribosomal RNA (497 nucleotides) under uncultured bacterium. RNAcentral's name for it is "partial 16S ribosomal RNA". It matches the Rfam family "Bacterial small subunit ribosomal RNA", at positions 28 to 507 of the family's 1533-position model. The record is from RNAcentral.